AGUGAACGCUGGCGGUAGGCCUAACACAUGCAAGUCGAACGGCAGCACAGUAAGAGCUUGCUCUUACGGGUGUCGAGUGGCGGACGGGUGAGGAAUACAUCGGAAUCUACUUUUUCGUGGGGGAUAACGUAGGGAAAUUUACGCUAAUACCGCAUACGACCUAUUGGUGAAAGCAGGGGAUCUUCGGACCUUGCGCGAUUGAAUGAGCCGAUGUCGGAUUAGCUAGUUGGCGGGGUAAAGGCCCACCAAGGCGACGAUCCGUAGCUGGCCUGAGAGGAUGAGCAGCAACGCUGGAACGGAGACACGGUCCGGACUCCUGCGGCAGGCAGCAGUGGCGAAUAUUGGACGAUGGGAGCAAGCCUGAUCAAGCCAUACCGCGUGGGUGAAGAAGGCAUUCGGGUUGUAUAGCCCUUUUGUUGGGAAAGAAAAGCAGCAGCUUAAUCCCCCGCUGUUAUGAAGGGACCCAAAGAAUAAGCACCGGCUAACUUCGUG
RNAcentral lists this ribosomal RNA (492 nucleotides) under uncultured bacterium. Its description in RNAcentral is "partial 16S ribosomal RNA". It matches the Rfam family "Bacterial small subunit ribosomal RNA", at positions 29 to 507 of the family's 1533-position model. The record is from RNAcentral.